UAGGGAAUCUUCCGCAAUGGACGCAAGUCUGACGGAGCAACGCCGCGUGAGUGAAGAAGGAUUUCGGUUCGUAAAACUCUGUUGUUAGAGAAGAACAGCGCAUAGAGUAACUGUUAUGCGUGUGACGGUAUCUAACCAGAAAGCCACGGCUAACUACGUGCCAGCAGCCGCUGUAAUACGUAGGUGGCAUGCGUUGUCCGGAUUUAUUGGGCGUAAAGCGAGCGCAGGCGGUCAAUUAAGUCUGAUGUGAAAGCCCCCGGCUCAACCGGGGAGGAUCAUUGGAAACUGGUUGACUUGAGUGCAGAAGAGGAGAGUGGAAUUCCAUGUGUAGCGGUGAAAUGCGUAGAUAUAUGGAGGAACACCAGUGGCGAAGGCGACUCUCUGGUCUGUAACUGACGCUGAGGCUCGAAAGCGUGGGUAGCAAACAGG
Molecule: ribosomal RNA, 429 nt
Filed under: Bacteroidota bacterium
Lineage: Bacteria; Pseudomonadati; Bacteroidota
Description: Bacteroidetes bacterium partial 16S ribosomal RNA
Rfam family: Bacterial small subunit ribosomal RNA
Source: RNAcentral